Xiphophorus couchianus (Monterrey platyfish) is the source of this 6868-nucleotide long non-coding RNA. RefSeq lists it as uncharacterized. The transcript is spliced from 5 exons. The record is from RefSeq and is a predicted model, not a curated record. NCBI's taxonomy places the organism in Eukaryota, Metazoa, Chordata, Actinopteri, Cyprinodontiformes, Poeciliidae.
AAUGUCGAUGGGCAGGGGUUUUCGUAAGGGCAGUGGGGGACCACUCUGUUCUGAAUAACAAGCCGAGAGGUUGGUGUGAGGUUACAGCACAAGCGGUGACAGAGCAGCAAGAUGACGAGACCGCAGAUGGCGUAUUUCUGCAGGUUUGUACAGAAUGCAAGAAAGUUACACCAAAACUGACUUAAUGAAAUGAGUCCGUUUUCAUACUGGGAGGAUGCAGUGCUACAAAGUAAACCGAGACCAAGCACCGGAAAAGGGGCACCCCUGACCCACUUACGUUGGGAGCAAAAAAGCAAAUCAUCCAAUCAAGGGAUAAUCUAUGGUUGGUUGCACUGAAGAGGAAGUCCAUGUGGUUGGUCGAAUCAUCGAAGAGUCAGACAUGCAUGCCUCACAUGUGAUGUACUUUCCUAUAGAAGUAAUAUCAACAAAGAGUUUGUCUGAGCAUAAUAUGCUGAAAGCGACGUACCUGUGACAGUAACAUGUAAGCCAGGUACAGAUUGAGUCAGAUCCACAUCAGGCGGCAUUAAAAACAAUAUCUGAGUGCUUACGCAACCGAUAAACACGCUGGUGAUGGUGUGCCUUUAAAACCAGUGGGUUGUCAGGUGAUCAAGGCGGCUCAGACACAGGAGCCUGAGUGCGUCUGUAGCUGGGAGCAGAGCGCCAGAGAGGAGAGCAGCCGAGAGGGAGAGACCUGUUUAGAAAGGAACAUGGGGGGAGAUGAGGACUCAGCUACAUCAGAGUGGGGGGCCAGAGGCUCGUGGUGGUAGGGUCCCUUUAACUGCAGUCUGCUUGUGCUCACUUGCCUUGUGUGACAGCUAGCAAGUGUGUUUCUGGCUCAGCUUGAUCAAGAAGCUGCGUUUGUGUAAGCCACAACAGUGGCAUAAAAAAAAGCACAGAGAAUUAAGUGCUGCGUCACACUCAGGAAGAGAAAUAGUGUGAUCAUGCGCGCGUGUGCACAGCUGCGUGUGUGUUGGUGUGUACAUACGCAUUUGAGUAGACUCUGUUGUGUUUGUCUGGCAGUGGGUAGGGUGUGUGUGUGUGUGUGUGUGUGUGUGAGAGAGUUGGACGUAGCAAUCUAAUAGCAGUUCUGCUGUUGCAACAAGAUGGAAAUAAAAGGAGUGUGUGUGCUUUUCAGUGGUGAGCAGAAAGGAAGCGAAGGGGAGAUACAGAGAGCAAGGGAGAGCAACUCAGAGUCAGUGGAAGAGAGUGAUUUCGGAUUAGUUGCUACGUCACUUUUUCAUGUCGAGAGAAACAGAAGCUGAGAUAACAGAAGCCCAGAGUCAUCACCCGGAGGAGGCACGUUGCUUUUCGGACACCUUCAGCUUCUGCCCUCUUCUUCUUCUUCCUUGGUAGUUUUGAUGUGCUCUACGUUUAGAGUGUGUGCGCGUGCGUGUGUGUGUGUUGCGUAGUUUUUGUGAGCUGGUGCCUGAGUUUCAACAUGGAUGCUGAGGAUUUGACACAGUUAGUUACUAGAGCUUGUUUUGAUUGGUUGGUUAGGUGGCGCUGGUUGCGACAAACAGGUUAACAGCACGAAUAUUCAGCCUGGGAUGUUUUUCAAAGAAUUCAUCGAGGUACAGCGCUGUUUUCCCCACUCUCUCCUCUAGGAAUAUGGGUGAUUUUUUUUUGCGAAUAGGUUAAAAUAAUCAAUGACGGUGCGGUCUGACCCUCCUAGUAUGCAGUCAGAACCAGCUCUGGACUCUUCUGGUUAACUCUGCUGAAGUUGAUGGAAAGAAUCAGCAUCCAGACUUGGAGGCAGAGGCUGCUGUAUGUUGCUGUCACAUACCACUCCGUAUCUGGUGAUACUUUCAUCAUGUGAGUUGUUUUCACCCGCCAGAGCCAUUGGGAUCUGGCAAAACCCUUCCCGAGACACAUUUGUUUCUGCGUAGUUAGGAGAGACAGAGAUGGUGACGCAGUCGCUUCUGGGCUGGACUUUGCUGCAACCGGCUAGUACCUCUCCUUUUUCCUCUCAGUCUGUUUAUCUGUGUGCCUAUCUAUCUGUCUAUCCGUCUCCUGGAGAAAGGAGAGGGUAAGUAGGUUUAAAUGUCAUGGCUCUGGAUCAGAAACAGAUAGAGAAGAAGAAGAGAGAGGGAGGGAGAGAAGGAAAGAGAAAAACAUAAGGUGGAGAGGAAGCACAGAGGGGUGCUGAGAUGAACCAAAACAGAGAAAAGUUGUAAACCUUGUUCUUUUUUGUGACUUAGCUUUGGCUUCUCUCCAAUGUACAUGAACUGGACUGGACUUCCUAAAACUGCUGCAUCACAAGCCUUCAUGCCAAGGCUGCAUUCUCAUUGGAUGGGAGGAGCUUCCCAGGCUUCACAGCAUUUCAUUGGCUUAAAAGAACAGGCAGCUGACAUUCAACCUCUGAUUGGCUGGGACGCAUUGUUUUCUCACAGUAAGGUUUAGCACUCACUAGAACACUUUUCUAUGAAUACAUGACUUAGUUAUUGCACAGUGGUUCAUUGUUGACAUUUAUUGAUUUUAAAUGCAAAAAAACAAAAGAAAUUUCAAUGAUAAAUGCAAUGAGAGUUUGUCCUAUGCAUAAAUUACAUUAUUCAAAGACAUUUUAAGAUGCUCUUCAUUCCAUAUCUAAGAGGAGGAAUAACAAAACAAUUUCAUAUCAAGUGAGUCACUCUUCCAGGAACCUUCCCAUGAAUUCUCAGUGACGUAUCAGUUCCUUUCUAGGAAACUAAAGAGCUCGUUGAAUUCAUACUUUUCUGGACUGUCAGUAAAGGAAAUCUGCUGGUUAUAGCACAGCGUUUCCUGUUCAUGGUAGAAAUUUCAGAAAAAGCUCCAAGAUGAGAGAGAGUUUAAAAAAAAAAAGUUUUUCCUGGCUUGAUCCCCAGUAUGCAGAAUAUGCAGCGUUUCCGAGACGUUCAAAGAGCAUCUGCUGCUUAUGUUCUGCAUUGCAGUCGCUGCCUGUGCUAAUGGCAUAGCGUACUUUAUACCAUUACGCUUUGGUUUAAAUUUUAGUCAACGAAUCUUAACUGUGGUGCUUACAAUGUGAAGUCCUGAGGAUUUAGUUUUACUAUUAAAAUAUGAGUUGACAUUUCCAGAUUUUCACAAGCUCUAAAAGAAUAUUAGAGAAAGAAGAGCUUGAUCACAUUUUCAUAGAAAAAAAAUCCUCUUUCAGUAUCUGAGAAACUGCUUUACAUUGAAGACGAGAGACUAAAUACCUAAACAGUUAUUAAAGUUUUAAUGAUUUACCUUACAAUGUGCUAUGUAGCAACUCUUGGAGAUUGUUGAUGUUAUUCGGAUGCUUUAUUUAGAUUGCUCUUUAAUGUAAGAAGAUAUAAGAAUGUGCUUAAAAUCACUUGUUUAAUCAUUUCAUUUGUAGACCUUCCUGCUGUGAAAAGUCAUUAAUUAUUUAAAUUCGGAGUAAAGCUACUGCUCACUACUGCAUGAAAGAGCAAUUAAUGCAAAACAUGUUAUUAUGAUUUUAAAACAAAGACUGGGUCAUUAUACAAUUGGCAUUUUUAACCAGCUUUAGCAUCUUAUAUUAGGGAUUAGUGCGGUUUCAUGGAAACAGUAUUCUUUGGUGUAUUCUUUCAGUAGGAUAAUGUUCUUUGCUACAAGGCUCAGAACGGUGUACUAGUACCAAACAAGAUCUUGGUUUUGACUUGGUCUCCAGAUGCCACAGAUCUCUAAUCCAAUUGAUCUGUAUGAUGGGCUGGAGCAAUAAGUCUAAUUUGCUGAGGAGAGGAUCACACUUUGUGAAGUUCAUCUUUUGUUGGAUCAGGCCUGUUUUGGCUAAAAAAAAUGGGCCCAGCGCACUGUUAGGCCAGGGGUUAUAAUGUUAUGCCUGAUUGAUGUAUAAAGAACUAUGUAGAAUUACUUACGGUCUGUAAAGUACCAUUGUACACAAUCAGUUUAUAUUAAACAAAACAAGUUUUGAUAAGUUAAUUGCUUAUCUAUGUGUUUCACUGCAGUGAAUUCUAACACAGCAGUAAAUCUCCAAGAGCAAACUUAAAAAUUUACUGCUGUGUUAAAGUUUCUCCAUAAAUAUGGACCUGUAUUUAUCCCCACUGAUUUCCCUUGUGUGCUCUGCAGUCUCAUUGCAAAUGUGUCGUUUGUCACUCUCCCAAGGCCUCCUGUCCCUUUAAAUCUUUUAUAAGCGUUACACAACAGGUCGAGUAGCACACAAGCAACAAACAACCCGAAAAAGAAAACUGACAGGGCAGGGUGGAGCGAGCCAGGCAAAGGAAUCAGACACCUACCGCCAGGGAGGCCCUCUGAUCAGAGCUGUCAUUGUGGCUACCAUGCAAACAGACUCAAAUACAACAUCUUAAUACUCCCUCACGGAAACAAACAGCUCGGCCUUGCCACCUGAAGCCUGAUAAAUGGCUCGUAAAUGCUGUGGGAAAGAACCUGUUGUGAAUGUUCUAGGCUGGGACAGGAUUCACUUGAUUUACCUGCUUGUAAAAAUUACGGUUUUUCAAUAGCUUGUUCACCUGUAUAUUAACAGCAAAAACUUCAGGGGUAAAGAACAAGGAAAUUAGAGAUGGUUGGUUAGUUUUCUACUUAGUUGAGGUACUUGGCAACAAGUCAGUGAACUGGCCACUACCUGUCCUUGCCCCACCCUCUCUGUGCAUUGUAGCUUUGCUUCUGCGUCAUGGCUCUCAUUGCCAGCAAUUGACUGCUACUUCCCUUCUCGUUUCCUCUUGUAGCGGCUGGAGACGAACAAACUAUCCUCUAUUCUUCCAAGCGACAGAGAGAACGGGAUUAAUCUCGUUUGUCUGCAGGUGAGCCUGUAAGUCAGAGGUAUACAACACAGAGGAGGCAUUUAGAGUGCAUAUGCUGUUGUUGUUUGGUCCUUCACACAUCCAUGUAGCUUGGAUUAUAUGUCAGAUGACUUGUGUGGGUGUGUUAGAGGGAAAAGAGUGACUGAGAAGUGUACGGGUGCUUUUUCAAAGUGUUUUUCCACUUAAUCAUUUGCUUUUGAUGUCUUUAUCUACUUCAUUUGUUUCCCUUAAUUCAGAUUUUUAACAGACUAUGAACCAGAUUCCAUAAACCUGAAUCUUAAACCACCCUGGAGCUCAUGCUGUGGGUCAGUGGAGGUCCUUGCAUGAUUGAUACUACUGUAUGUGCAAACCCCUGAAUGAAUCUGUGUUUUGCUGAUUAACGUGUAAUCAACGAAAAGGUAACUACCAUCUAUGCUUGAUUACAUUAUUAACAGUGGCUUUUGUUCUUGUCUUGUUGCUAAAGGUGUAUUUAUGAUAAAAAAAAGACAUCAACAUGUUCAUUUUAGAUUUUUUACAAAUAGAAUGAAGGGGUUUCUCUUUCAAACAGAUUUAAACUUUUUCCGUUUACUGUACAAAAAGUCAGUUCAGGUUUUACUUAGCUUUUAACUAGGUGAUCAAAUGCUGUCCAAAGUACAUAAAAACGGUCAAAUAGUUAAAUUUAAGAAUAUAAAUUUUAGAGUCUAUAAAAGAAGGCUAAGGUUUUUUCAUUUUCUCGUACAGUGUUUACGCCACGUCUUAUUUGCAUAACUAUGUUGACUGGAUAUGCAAAUAAACAGCAGAAAGCAUGUCUGCGGGGCACAUGACUGAAAACUUUUUUCCUCUUCAAGCUUCCGCACUGCCCCCUGACACAAUAAUGCCCUGAGGAACGAGCCUUUUUGAAAUCAAAAACAGCUGCUGACUCAAAUCGUGAGCUUCACCAGUCACCCAACCUUUAAGGUUGAUGCUAUGUACAUCACAGGGGAAUGCAGUGCCCCCCUAGACGAAUUACACCUAAAUCAUCACUGCUGGUGAUCCCUUACAGACUCUGAAAGCCUAACUUUGGACCCUCAUCUUGUUAUUUAAUGUGCCUUUAAUUUAUUUGGUAAAACACAAAUCUGUAGAACUGUCCUGUUUUAGGCACUAAAGUCUCCAAAUGAAGCAGCUUUUAACUUUGACUUUACUUCUAAUGCUCCCAACGGUGCAGUAUUAUAAAUAUUACUGAUGUCAGCAGUCCCAGCUGAAACAGAGAACCUGUGUAUAACUCUGUUGUGAGUAAAUGCCAUGCAUCUCUGAGUCAUAGUAUUGUGGGUGUUUGGUUUAUGCAUAAUUCACAUCUGCAGACAAAGAGUGAAAUAAAUGACUUAGUUUUCAUCCACAAAAAUAUGCAUUUGUAUAUAACUCCUACACCUCAACAAGAUUACAUUAUGUAUGACUAAGCAAGCUUGACUUGAAGUUACUGCAGAUUUGAAAAUGUGUGUAUUUGCUUCCAGGAUUCAUCCAUAUCUUCCCAACUCUACUUUUACUGUAUCUAUCAGAUAUGUUGUAGUAGUUACAAUAAGUAUAAAUAGAUGAGGCAAGUUAUUGAAAAAUUAUUCUUGAACCUCAACAUGUUCAUUCACAUGACAGCUACAAAUUGUUUUCUUUUUUUUUUAAACUUCACUGAGAAAUAUGGUGUACAUAGUUGAUGGGAAGAUUGAUUGAUGUAGAUAUAGAACAACUGUGGAGGAAAACUUGCUAGAGACACUUGUGUCUGGGAGGCUACAAUAGAAUAGUGUAGAUCAAAAAUAUACAGUAUGUCGUUGUUAGAGUGACCCAAAUUCUGGACCUGAAUCCAGAUGAAAAUAUGUUGCAACACUUGAAAGUGGAUAUUUGCAGAAAAUCUCCAUGCAGUCCAACUGAGCUUGAGACACUUUGGAAAGAAUAGACAAAAAUGUCUAGCCUUUAGAAGUGCAGAAUUGCUAGAUAAACCUACGUAUAUACCACAUAAAAGUUGCAGCAAAAGGUGGUUCUACCAUCAUUGCAUCAGAUGGGCUGCAUACAAAACCAUGCCACAAUCUUAUGGCAUGGGUAUAUUUCCAAUCAUAUGUCUGAUAAAGACUUAAAAAAAAUCUGUUUAUUUAAUUCCGGUUUAAAUUAACACUUUAUAUAUAUAU